CGUGUAGGCGGGUUUCCAAGUCAGAUGUGAAAUCCCUGGGCUCAACCCAGGAACUGCAUUUGAAACUGGGAGUCUUGAGUAUCGGAGAGGAAAGCGGAAUUCCUGGUGUAGAGGUGAAAUUCGUAGAUAUCAGGAGGAACACCGGUGGCGAAGGCGGCUUUCUGGACGAUAACUGACGCUGAGACGCGAAAGCGUGGGGAGCAAACAGGAUUAGAUACCCUGGUAGUCCACGCCGUAAACGAUGAACACUAGGUGUCGUGGGUAUUGACCCCCGCGGUGCCGUAGCUAACGCAUUAAGUGUUCCGCCUGGGAAGUACGGUCGCAAGACUAAA
RNAcentral lists this ribosomal RNA (332 nucleotides) under uncultured Cystobacter sp. RNAcentral describes it as "bacterial SSU rRNA". It matches the Rfam family "Bacterial small subunit ribosomal RNA", at positions 568 to 898 of the family's 1533-position model. Lineage: Bacteria; Pseudomonadati; Myxococcota; Myxococcia; Myxococcales; Archangiaceae. The record is from RNAcentral.